RNAcentral lists this ribosomal RNA (469 nucleotides) under uncultured bacterium. RNAcentral's name for it is "partial 16S ribosomal RNA". It matches the Rfam family "Bacterial small subunit ribosomal RNA", at positions 28 to 507 of the family's 1533-position model. The record is from RNAcentral.
GACGAACGCUGGCGGCGUGCUUAACACAUGCAAGUCGAACGGAAAGGCCCUGCUUGCAGGGUGCUCGCGUGGCGAACGGGUGAGUAACUCGCAGGUGAUCUGCCCCCUUAUUUGGGUUAAGCCUGGGAAACUGGGUCUAAUACUGGCUAGGAACAUGCUGUAUGUGGUGUGGUGGAUAGAUUAGUUUCGGUUAGGGAUGAGCUCGAGGCCUAUCAGCUUGUUGGUGGGGUAAUGGGCUACCAAGGCCUCGACGGGUAGCCGGCCUCAGUGGGUGUGCGGCCACGUCGGGACUGAGACGCGGGGCAGACUCAUACGGGAGGCAGCAGUGGGGAAUAGCGCGCAAUAGGCGCAAGGCUGAUGCAGCGACGCUGCGUGGGGGAUGACGCCCUUCGGGUUGUGAACACCAUAUGGGCAAGUCGAAGCGCUUGUCGUGACGGUAGUGGUAGAAGAAGCACCGGCUAACUACGUG